ACUUGCAGUGACAAACUUGCCCGGGCACUUUUCGUGGAGGAGAGUGAGGAGCCCAUCAGUGGUGCUUCAACCUCGGGGAGCUAAGAGAAGAUUCAGUGUUCAGGUCAACGGUCAUGUGCUCAACUCUUUUUCCUGUUUUCUCUUUGUCUUGGGCUAGAAAUAAAACAGGU
Long non-coding RNA from Ixodes scapularis (black-legged tick), 170 nucleotides. RefSeq lists it as uncharacterized. The record is from RefSeq and is a predicted model, not a curated record. The transcript is spliced from 3 exons. NCBI's taxonomy places the organism in Eukaryota, Metazoa, Arthropoda, Arachnida, Ixodida, Ixodidae.